CAGGAUGAACGCUGGCGGCGUGCUUAACACAUGCAAGUCGAACGGUGAAGCCAAGCUUGCUUGGUGGAUCAGUGGCGAACGGGUGAGUAACACGUGAGCAACCUGCCCUGGACUCUGGGAUAAGCGCUGGAAACGGCGUCUAAUACUGGAUAUGAGCUCCUUCCGCAUGGUGGGGGUUGGAAAGAUUUUUCGGUCUGGGAUGGGCUCGCGGCCUAUCAGCUUGUUGGUGAGGUAAUGGCUCACCAAGGCGUCGACGGGUAGCCGGCCUGAGAGGGUGACCGGCCACACUGGGACUGAGACACGGCCCAGACUCCUACGGGAGGCAGCAGUGGGGAAUAUUGCACAAUGGGCGGAAGCCUGAUGCAGCAACGCCGCGUGAGGGAUGACGGCCUUCGGGUUGUAAACCUCUUUUAGCAGGGAAGAAGCGAAAGUGACGGUACCUGCAGAAAAAGCGCCGGCUAACUACGUGCCAGCAGCCGCGGUAAUACGUAGGGCGCAAGCGUUAUCCGGAAUUAUUGGGCGUAAAGAGCUCGUAGGCGGUUUGUCGCGUCUGCUGUGAAAUCCCGAGGCUCAACCUCGGGCCUGCAGUGGGUACGGGCAGACUAGAGUGCGGUAGGGGAGAUUGGAAUUCCUGGUGUAGCGGUGGAAUGCGCAGAUAUCAGGAGGAACACCGAUGGCGAAGGCAGAUCUCUGGGCCGUAACUGACGCUGAGGAGCGAAAGGGUGGGGAGCAAACAGGCUUAGAUACCCUGGUAGUCCACCCCGUAAACGUUGGGAACUAGUUGUGGGGACCAUUCCACGGUUUCCGUGACGCAGCUAACGCAUUAAGUUCCCCGCCUGGGGAGUACGGCCGCAAGGCUAAAACUCAAAGGAAUUGACGGGGACCCGCACAAGCGGCGGAGCAUGCGGAUUAAUUCGAUGCAACGCGAAGAACCUUACCAAGGCUUGACAUAUACGAGAACGGGCCAGAAAUGGUCAACUCUUUGGACACUCGUAAACAGGUGGUGCAUGGUUGUCGUCAGCUCGUGUCGUGAGAUGUUGGGUUAAGUCCCGCAACGAGCGCAACCCUCGUUCUAUGUUGCCAGCACGUAAUGGUGGGAACUCAUGGGAUACUGCCGGGGUCAACUCGGAGGAAGGUGGGGAUGACGUCAAAUCAUCAUGCCCCUUAUGUCUUGGGCUUCACGCAUGCUACAAUGGCCGGUACAAAGGGCUGCAAUACCGUAAGGUGGAGCGAAUCCCAAAAAGCCGGUCCCAGUUCGGAUUGAGGUCUGCAACUCGACCUCAUGAAGUCGGAGUCGCUAGUAAUCGCAGAUCAGCAACGCUGCGGUGAAUACGUUCCCGGGUCUUGUACACACCGCCCCGUCAAGUCAUGAAAAGUCGGUAACACCUGGAAGCCGGUGGCCCAACCCUUGUGGAGGGAGCCGUCGAAGGUGGGAUCGGUAAUUAGGACUAGUCUAC
Molecule: ribosomal RNA, 1457 nt
Filed under: Microbacterium sp.
Lineage: Bacteria; Bacillati; Actinomycetota; Actinomycetes; Micrococcales; Microbacteriaceae
Description: bacterial SSU rRNA
Rfam family: Bacterial small subunit ribosomal RNA
Source: RNAcentral